This is a non-coding RNA of Pimephales promelas (fathead minnow), 865 nucleotides long. The record is from RefSeq and is a predicted model, not a curated record. Lineage: Eukaryota; Metazoa; Chordata; Actinopteri; Cypriniformes; Leuciscidae.
AUGCAUAUGUCUGCAAGGUGCUGAACAUUGAAAGGUCCCUCUGCGCCCCGUACCACCCCCAGACCAAUGGACUCGUGGAAAGAAUGAAUGGAACGAUCCAGGGAGCUCUCUGCAAACUGGUGAAAUACCAGCCAAAAGACUGGGACAGGCACCUGGACACAAUCAUGUUUGGUUUACGAAAAAAAGUUAAAAUGACAACCAAAUACUCGCCAUUUUUUUAAUGUUUGGGAGAGAGGCAUGUUAUCCCUCUCAUAUAGCAGAGCACUACAGGACUGACAAGACUGUGGAGGACACGGUGUCCAUUGAGGAGGUUACAGAGUCCACUCUUAAUUUAAGUAAAAUUAAUGGACGUAAAGGGGAACAUUAGAAAAAGCCAUGGAACUGUAAAAAAAGACUGAAGCAACCCUUUACAACUUUCAAAGUUGGGGACAAUGUGUGGAGGAGAAACAUCAGAGCCGAACAACGUAAAGGGGACAAACUUGAAUCCAACUACCUUUUUUUACUGUACUGCUUUAACUGCUUUAAUACUGCUCUGACUGGAAGAGAUUUUGAUGGAGAGCGGGAGAGUCUUCACUCCAAUGAGGCGAGUGAAGAAGUAAAUUACUUAUUAUACUGCUGAGAGUAUAAGAAGUCGCUGAGAGCGUCAUUAAGGGUAAUGGCAGCAGAAACGUGCUCUGUGGGGGCCCCGCUGGGCAUUACUGGUGUAGCACCACUCCAGCAGAGUACGUCCCUGGGCUGGAGGCCCAGUUGCACCGUAAACCAGCUCAAUCUCUUCCAUCUCAUAUAGGGGUAUACUGGAAGAGAUUUUGAUGGAGAGCGGGAGUCUUCACUCCGAUGAGGCGAGUGAAGAAGUAAGUUACUUAUA